RNAcentral lists this ribosomal RNA (491 nucleotides) under uncultured bacterium. RNAcentral's name for it is "partial 16S ribosomal RNA". It matches the Rfam family "Bacterial small subunit ribosomal RNA", at positions 29 to 507 of the family's 1533-position model. The record is from RNAcentral.
AGUGAACGCUGGCGGUAGGCCUAACACAUGCGAGUCGAACGGCAGCACAGUAAGAGCUUGCUCUUCGGGUGGCGAGUGGCGGACGGGUGAGGAAUACAUCGGAAUCUACUUUUUCGUGGGGGAUAACGUAGGGAAACUUACGCUAAUACCGCAUACGACCUACGGGUGAAAGCAGGGGAUCUUCGGACCUUGCGCGAUUGAAUGAGCCGAUGUCGGAUUAGCUAGUUGGCGGGGUAAAGGCCCACCAAGGCGACGAUCCGUAGCUGGUCUGAGAGGAUGAUCAGCCACACUGGAACUGAGACACGGUCCAGACUCCUACGGGAGGCAGCAGUGGGGAAUAUUGGACAAUGGGCGCAAGCCUGAUCCAGCCAUACCGCGUGGGUGAAGAAGGCCUUCGGGUUGUAAAGCCCUUUUGUUGGGAAAGAAAAGCAGCAGGUUAAUACCCCGCUGUUCUGACGGUACCCAAAGAAUAAGCACCGGCUAACUUCGUG